GACCGUGCAAAGGUAGCAUAAUCAUUUGCCUUAUAAUUGAAGGCUUGUAUGAAUGGUUUGACAAGAAUAGAUCUGUCUCCUUACAAUUAAAUAUAAUUUUAUCCUUAGGUGAAGAAGCCUAAAUCUAAUUGAAAGACAAGAAGACCCUAUCGAGCUUGAAAAUACUUGAUAAAACUAAAACCAUGUUUAUAUUGAAAUAAUUAUCACAAAUUUUGGUUGGGGCGACAGAGGAACAAAUAAAGCUUCCUUAGAGUUUAAAUACGUGCAAGUAGUGAUCCAGACAUUUUGAUUAAAGGAAUUAGUUACCGUAGGGAUAACAGCAUUAUCUUUUUUAAGAGCUCAAAUCGAAAAAAAGGUUUGUGACCUCGAUGUUGGACCAGAAUGUCCUAAAGAUGCAGCCGUCUUUAAGGGUUGGUCUGUUCGACCAUUAAAAUUCUACGUGAUCUGAGUUCAGACCGGCGUGAGCCAGGUCAGUUUCUAUCUUCAAUUUUUGAUGUGGACUUAGUACGAAAGGAUUAGUCUAUAGUAGAAUUUACUGCAACUGAUGAAGUAUAAAGAAAAUUUUAGUGGAUGAAAUUUUUGAAGGAUCAAAUUAGCAAAGAUAAUGCAAUUGACUUAGGAUCAAUAGACAUAGGUGAAAAUCCUUUAUUUGAUAUCUUAUAGAGAUGGCAGAUAAA
Molecule: ribosomal RNA, 677 nt
Filed under: Cytharomorula springsteeni
Lineage: Eukaryota; Metazoa; Mollusca; Gastropoda; Neogastropoda; Muricidae
Description: partial 16S ribosomal RNA
Rfam family: Bacterial large subunit ribosomal RNA (bases 1-509)
Source: RNAcentral